AACACAUUGAAAGGAGGUGAUCCAGUGUCUAGAGUGAUAUUGGAGAGAGGUGUCGGGACAGUCGGGGGGCACGAUAUCUAGGGGCAACCCCUUGGAAUCCAACCACUGAUUGGGCUUGAAACCUAACUGGCCCAUCUCCUUGGAACUCGGAAAGGGUCGCCGCACACCGGCGACCCUU
RNAcentral lists this unclassified non-coding RNA (178 nucleotides) under Gemmobacter aquatilis. RNAcentral describes it as "caulobacter sRNA CC2171". Lineage: Bacteria; Pseudomonadati; Pseudomonadota; Alphaproteobacteria; Rhodobacterales; Paracoccaceae. The record is from RNAcentral.